GAUGAACGCUGGCGGCGUGCCUAAUACAUGCAAGUCGAGCGAACGGACGAGAAGCUUGCUUCUCUGAUGUUAGCGGCGGACGGGUGAGUAACACGUGGAUAACCUACCUAUAAGACUGGGAUAACUUCGGGAAACCGGAGCUAAUACCGGAUAAUAUUUUGAACCGCAUGGUUCAAAAGUGAAAGACGGUCUUGCUGUCACUUAUAGAUGGAUCCGCGCUGCAUUAGCUAGUUGGUAAGGUAACGGCUUACCAAGGCAACGAUGCAUAGCCGACCUGAGAGGGUGAUCGGCCACUCUGAAACUGAGACACGGUCCAGACUCCUGGGGGAGGGAGCAGUAGGGAAUCUUCCGAAAGGGGCGAAAGCCUGACGGAGCAACGCCGCGUGAGUGAUGAAGGUCUUCGGAUCGUAAAACUCUGUUAUUGGGGAAGAACAUAUGUGUAAGUAACUGUGCACAUCUUGACGGCACCAAAACAGAAAGCCGCGGCUAACUACG
Molecule: ribosomal RNA, 495 nt
Filed under: uncultured bacterium
Lineage: Bacteria
Description: partial 16S ribosomal RNA
Rfam family: Bacterial small subunit ribosomal RNA
Source: RNAcentral